CCCUUAGAUGCUCUGGGCCGCACGCGCGCUACACUGGUCGAUGCAACGAGUUUCUUUCCUUGGCCGACAGGCCUGGGCAAUCUUUGAACAUCGAUCGUGAUCGGGAUAGAUUCUUGUAAUUUUUGAUCUUAAACGAGGAAUUCCUAAUAAACGCAAGUCAUCAGCUUGCAUUGAUUACGUCCCUGCCCUUUGUACACACCGCCCGUCGCACCUACCGAUUGAAUGGUCCGGUGAAAUCUCCGGACUGGCGUGAGUCGGAGCAAUCUGACAAACGCCGGAAAGUUGAUUAAACCUUACCAUUUAGAGGAAGGUGAAGUCGUAACA
RNAcentral lists this ribosomal RNA (324 nucleotides) under uncultured eukaryote. Its description in RNAcentral is "partial 18S ribosomal RNA". It matches the Rfam family "Eukaryotic small subunit ribosomal RNA", at positions 1470 to 1796 of the family's 1831-position model. The record is from RNAcentral.